Molecule: ribosomal RNA, 468 nt
Filed under: uncultured bacterium
Lineage: Bacteria
Description: partial 16S ribosomal RNA
Rfam family: Bacterial small subunit ribosomal RNA
Source: RNAcentral
GACGAACGCUGGCGGCGUGCUUAACACAUGCAAGUCGAACGGAAAGGCCCUGCUUUUGUGGGGUGCUCGAGUGGCGAACGGGUGAGUAACACGUGAGUAACCUGCCCUUGACUUUGGGAUAACUUCAGGAAACUGGGGCUAAUACCGGAUAGGAGCUCCUGCUGCAUGGUGGGGGUUGGAAAGUUUCGGCGGUUGGGGAUGGACUCGCGGCUUAUCAGCUUGUUGGUGGGGUAGUGGCUUACCAAGGCUUUGACGGGUAGCCGGCCUGAGAGGGUGACCGGCGACAUUGGGACUGAGAUACGGCCCAGACUCGUACGGGAGGCAGAAGGGGGGAAUAUGGCACAAUGGGCGGAAGCCUGAUGCAGCAACGCCGCGUGCGGGAUGACGGCCUUCGGGGUGUAAACCGCUUUCGCAUGUGACGAAGCGUCAGUGACGGUAAUGGGUAAAGAAGCACCGGCUAACUACGUG